Molecule: long non-coding RNA, 310 nt
Filed under: Phoenix dactylifera (date palm)
Lineage: Eukaryota; Viridiplantae; Streptophyta; Magnoliopsida; Arecales; Arecaceae
Description: long non-coding RNA (PDAC_LNC008610)
Source: RNAcentral
UGGAGUCGACUCGAACUUCCUUGGAGUCGACUCGGCUCUCAGUUUCUGAAAGUUGGUCUUCUGCCUUUUGACGUGAAGCUUGUCUUGGAGUCGACUCGAGCUGUCUGGGAGUCGACUCGAAUCUCAGAGGCAGUAACAUGGUUUUUUGUCUGUCGAUGGUCGCACAGUCUCGGAGUCGACUCGCGUAUUGCGGGAGUCGACUCGCGUAUUGCGGGAGUCGACUCGAAUCUCAGAGUCCAUAAAAUGCUCUCUGACCUUUUCUUUGUGUACCGCUGAGAGUCGACUCUUGCUUUCUCUGGAGUCGACUUGC